RNAcentral lists this ribosomal RNA (305 nucleotides) under uncultured bacterium. RNAcentral describes it as "bacterial SSU rRNA". It matches the Rfam family "Bacterial small subunit ribosomal RNA", at positions 337 to 635 of the family's 1533-position model. The record is from RNAcentral.
UCCUACGGGGGGCAGCAGUAGGGAAUUUUCGUCAAUGGGCGCAAGCCUGAACGAGCAAUGCCGCGUGAACGAGGAAGGUCUUCGGAUCGUAAAGUUCUGUUGAAGGGGAAAAAGAGCGGAGAGAGGAAAUGGUCUCCGAUUGAUAUUACCCUUCGAGGAAGUCACGGCUAACUACGUGCCAGCAGCCGCGGUAAUACGUAGGUGGCGAGCGUUAUCCGGAAUGAUUGGGCGUAAAGGGUGCGUAGGCAGCCUGCUAAGUCUGGAGUGAAAGGUACCGGCUCAACCGGUACAGGCUCUGGAAACUG